AAAAGCCGGACUCUUCCGGUGAAGCGGAGGUGUGGUGGGGCUUGCUGGGAUCAUGGCGGGGAAUCACUGCGAGCUCCUGCCGCUGGCCCGUGGCAGGCUCGGGGCGGGGUUGGGGUGGCUUCUUGUGCCUCCCUUAAAGCGCGGGGCUCAGCGUCCUGGCCCAGCGCCCCAGCAGCAGGUCCAAGUGGGUCCGGCUCUACAGCGGCGGCACCUACUUCCUCACCACUGGGCAGACGCCGCUGUGUCAGGACCCGAAAUCCUUCCUGUACCUCUUGAGCCAGGCCGACCCCGACCCGGACUCGGACAAGGAUGAAACAGGCGCCUAUUUAAUCGACAGAGACCCCACCUACUUUGGGCCUGUGCUGAACUACCUGAGACACGGCAAGCUGGUGAUUAACAAAGACCUCGCGGAGGAAG
This 417-nucleotide long non-coding RNA is filed under the name Homo sapiens (human). RNAcentral describes it as "non-protein coding lnc-PDPK1-2:3". The record is from RNAcentral. Lineage: Eukaryota; Metazoa; Chordata; Mammalia; Primates; Hominidae.